UUCACUUUCAAACCCUAGCAGCCACAACACCAUCUCUGGAAUAGCAUCGGCACCUGCUUCCUAAAACCAAAACCACACAAACUCGGCUUCAUUUUUGUAACUCGAGAGCUUCGGUGGGAUGAAGGAGAAGUGCAGGGAGAUGGACUCGAGUCGGCGGGCGGAAGAGAUCUUCAGGGAUUACAGUGGUCGGAGAACCGAAGCCGUCCACGCUUUAACUAACGAGAGAGAGAGAUAGGAGGAGGUGACCUAGAACUCACCGCAGGCCUGUAAUGCUUAUGCUUCACCGGGGCCUCGAUUUGCAAGCUUUGUGGCUUAUCAGAGGCUACCGUAUUUGGAUUUUGCUGGAAGAAGGUUUCGAAUUGGACGAUUGGAAGACAAAAAGGUUAUAAUUGUUAUGACUGGAUUGAGCAUGCUCAAUGCAGGCAUCUCAACUCAAUUACUACAAACCCUAUUCAAGGUGAAAGCUAUUGUACACUAUGGAAUUGCAGGAAAUGCAGAUC
Molecule: long non-coding RNA, 500 nt
Organism: Pyrus x bretschneideri (Chinese white pear)
Lineage: Eukaryota; Viridiplantae; Streptophyta; Magnoliopsida; Rosales; Rosaceae
Exons: 4
Source: RefSeq, a predicted model, not a curated record